RNAcentral lists this transfer RNA (73 nucleotides) under Stegodyphus mimosarum. RNAcentral's name for it is "tRNA-Thr for anticodon CGU". It matches the Rfam family "tRNA". From Rfam's summary of the family: Transfer RNA (tRNA) molecules are approximately 80 nucleotides in length. Their secondary structure includes four short double-helical elements and three loops (D, anti-codon, and T loops). Further hydrogen bonds mediate the characteristic L-shaped molecular structure. tRNAs have two regions of fundamental functional importance: the anti-codon, which is responsible for specific mRNA codon recognition, and the 3' end, to which the tRNAs corresponding amino acid is attached (by aminoacyl-tRNA synthetases). tRNAs cope with the degeneracy of the genetic code in two manners: having more than one tRNA (with a specific anti-codon) for a particular amino acid; and 'wobble' base-pairing, i.e. permitting non-standard base-pairing at the 3rd anti-codon position. Lineage: Eukaryota; Metazoa; Arthropoda; Arachnida; Araneae; Eresidae. The record is from Rfam by way of RNAcentral.
GCCUUCGUAGUGCAGUGGUUAGCGCGCUCGACGCGUAUUCGAGAGAUCCGUGGUUCGAAUCCCGGCGAAGGCA